UACGGAGGAUGCGAGCGUUAUCCGGAUUUACUGGGUGUAAAGGGCGUGUAGGCGGAGACGCAAGUCAGGAGUGAAAUCCCCGGGCUCAACCCAUAGCCUGCAUUUGAAACUGUAUUUCUUGAGUGCUGGAGAGGCAAUCGGAAUUCCGUGUGUAGCGGUGAAAUGCGUAGAUAUUAGGAGGAACACCAGUGGCGAAGGCGGCUUACUGGACUGUAACUGACACUGAGGCACGAAAGCGUGGGGAGCAA
Molecule: ribosomal RNA, 248 nt
Filed under: uncultured Ruminiclostridium sp.
Lineage: Bacteria; Bacillati; Bacillota; Clostridia; Eubacteriales; Oscillospiraceae
Description: partial 16S ribosomal RNA
Rfam family: Bacterial small subunit ribosomal RNA
Source: RNAcentral